GUGCCAGCAGCCGCGGUAAUACGUAGGUGGCAAGCGUUGUCCGGAUUUAUUGGGCGUAAAGCGAGCGCAGGCGGUUUCUUAAGUCUGAUGUGAAAGCCCCCCGGCUCAACCGGGGAGGGUCAUUGGAAACUGGGAGACUUGAGUGCAGAAGAGGAGAGUGGAAUUCCAUGUGUAGCGGUGAAAUGCGUAGAUAUAUGGAGGAACACCAGUGGCGAAGGCGGCUCUCUGGUCUGUAACCUUAUUAGAUGACGCUGAGGCUCGAAAGCGUGGGGAGCGAACAGGAUUAGAUACCCUGGUAGUCC
Molecule: ribosomal RNA, 302 nt
Filed under: uncultured microorganism
Description: bacterial SSU rRNA
Rfam family: Bacterial small subunit ribosomal RNA
Source: RNAcentral